RNAcentral lists this ribosomal RNA (484 nucleotides) under uncultured bacterium. RNAcentral describes it as "partial 16S ribosomal RNA". It matches the Rfam family "Bacterial small subunit ribosomal RNA", at positions 30 to 507 of the family's 1533-position model. The record is from RNAcentral.
AUUGAACGCUGGCGGCAGGCCUAACACAUGCAAGUCGAGCGGAUGAAGGGAGCUUGCUCCUGGAUUCAGCGGCGGACGGGUGAGUAAUGCCUAGGAAUCUGCCUGGUAGUGGGGGAUAACGUCCGGAAACGGGCGCUAAUACCGCAUACGUCCUGAGGGAGAAAGUGGGGGAUCUUCGGACCUCACGCUAUCAGAUGAGCCUAGGUCGGAUUAGCUAGUUGGUGGGGUAAAGGCCUACCAAGGCGACGAUCCGUAACUGGUCUGAGAGGAUGAUCAGUCACACUGGAACUAAGACACGGUCCAGACUCCUACGGGAGGCAGCAGUGGGGAAUAUUGGACAAUGGGCGAAAGCCUGAUCCAGCCAUGCCGCGUGUGUGAAGAAGGUCUUCGGAUUGUAAAGCACUUUAAGCUGGGAGGAAGGGCAGUAAGUUAAUACCUUGCUGUUUUGACGUUACCAACAGAAUAAGCACCGGCUAACUUCGUG